Phyllopteryx taeniolatus (common seadragon) is the source of this 1014-nucleotide long non-coding RNA. RefSeq lists it as uncharacterized. The record is from RefSeq and is a predicted model, not a curated record. The transcript is spliced from 3 exons. NCBI's taxonomy places the organism in Eukaryota, Metazoa, Chordata, Actinopteri, Syngnathiformes, Syngnathidae.
GGUUCAUUCAUGCUGCUGGCUGCACGUCCUCAUUCACUUUUAACUCAUUGCUGGUGAAAUCAGUUUGACAAUAAACUACAGCUGGGUGCGGCAAUCAGCUUGAAGGAGCCCUUUCCCUCUUUUAGCCAACGCAGCGUGAAAGAUGACGAGAGACCGGCUAGGUAGCCAGCAGGCUAGCUGGAAAGGCGGCAGAUUAGUCCACGUGGAUUCAUGGCACGGAUGAGCGCUACACAGACCCGGGAUUCUACUUGUGGCCAAGGUACGGCGAGGGAUCUUGGCUAAAUAAACUGGGAGUGACAGAUUGACGCAAGCACACUUUGUCUCUUAUCUGUAGGACUGUGCGAGUAAGAAAGUGUGAACAGAAAAAAGUGUGUUUUAAAGUUGAAAUGUAUUUUAAUGUUUAAAUGUGUUUCAUGUAGAUGGUCUGUCCAUAACACAGAUCGCAGGUGGGUUUGGAGCGUAUAUCCCAUGACAAACAAGCAUUCACACCGAUGGACAAUUUAGUCUUAAAUGAAGCUAACGUGCAUGUUUUAGCAACGUGGGGCAGUCUACUAACCACUCGCCCAGCAUGCUGUCCCCAUGGGAUCCAUGGAGGUGAAAGGAACAGAUGGAGAUGGGCGCAGCCAUGUCCCGUUAGCCACGUUACCACGCUCGCCGUCGUCAUGAAGCAAGCCUCUCGUCACCUUGUCCGCAUUCCCAGGUCAUGCUUUGGAAGUGUAGGGGUCACACCCCUUCAACCUCGCCUCCAGCCCCCCUACUGCCACCCGUUAUAUUAGGAUCCGAACAUGAUGUAAUUGGACCCAUUUAGCUGGGGACGAGCCGCGGAGGACUGACAAGUAGGCUGCAGCCUGGGCUCCCUGUCUCCCCAGACAUGGGCACUCAAACAAGGGCCGUGACCCACCUUUGUCUGCUACAUUGACCCUUAGACACCGUAGGACAAACGGCAGACAUAAUGAGGACAUGUGCAUGUUUUAUUUGUCUUUUAGCACAUUUCAGGAAUUAAAAAAAAAAAGU